CCCUUAGAUGUCCUGGGCCGCACGCGCGCUACACUGAUGCAUUCAACGAGCCUAUCCUUGACCGACAGGUCCGGGUAAUCUUUGAAUCUGCAUCGUGACGGGGAUAGAUUAUUGCAAUUAUUAAUCUUCAACGAGGAAUGCCUAGUAGGCGCAAGUCAUCAGCUUGCGUCGAUUACGUCCCUGCCCUUUGUACACACCGCCCGUCGCUCCUACCGAUUGGGUGUGCUGGUGAAAUGUUCGGAUCGGCCGUUUGUCGCGGUUUCCGCGGCUCGUGGCUGAGAAGUUCAUUAACCCCUCCCACCUAGAGGAAGGAGAAGUCGUAACA
Molecule: ribosomal RNA, 325 nt
Filed under: uncultured eukaryote
Lineage: Eukaryota
Description: partial 18S ribosomal RNA
Rfam family: Eukaryotic small subunit ribosomal RNA
Source: RNAcentral